AACUGAUAUUUAUAUUGACAUUUCUAGCAAUUACCAUUAGCAAGUAGCUCUUCACUGUUAAGUAGCAUAACAUAGCCAUAAACUAACAUAAAUGAAGUAAAGUAUCCACUCAACAUUUUAAGACAGCGAUUGUAAGGUUUCCUUGGCAAAUCCAAGCAUCAGCAAACAAUCUUCAAAUCAAACUAACAAGCUUUUAAAAAUCCAAUUGAUUUUACUACUACACACACAUACCGCGGCUAAUUCGUCGGUGGAGACGAUAGAUGCUGAACAUCCCCGGCGUUCUGCUUCGGCGGCCAAUACGCUCCGCCGCAUCAAGAACGUUUGGCUGUGAUCAUACACUUCUUUGGUUAAACCGCUACGGUCAUACAUAGAAGCCUUUUCUACUCUAGGCAAUACUUGAGACUCCUGCUCGGCCUCGGCGUUUCUUCCCAUCGCCAUCUCUUUCAACAAUCUCCAGACCGGUGGUUUCUUCUCUUCUCCAACCACUAAGAGGCUCAAUUUUUCUUCUUUAAUUAGCUUCUUCCACUAUUCUCCUUUCUCCUUGUCUUUUUCCUUCUAGCCUUCUUAUCUCAACCACAAGCGAACAAGUCAGAGUAUAUAUCUAUACUAGUCUCUCGUUUUCUCUUGACUACUGUCUUCUAACAUUUUAAGACAGCGAUUGUUUUUCCCUCUGUACAUUGUUUCUUUAGGUGGCAUAAUCUUCUUCAAGCUCUUCGUUUUCAAUAUAUGGUCCUUUUGUUUUG
RNAcentral lists this long non-coding RNA (743 nucleotides) under Capsella grandiflora. Its description in RNAcentral is "long non-coding RNA (CGRA_LNC000134)". Lineage: Eukaryota; Viridiplantae; Streptophyta; Magnoliopsida; Brassicales; Brassicaceae. The record is from RNAcentral.